GAUGAACGCUGGCGGCGUGCCUAAUACAUGCAAGUCGAGCGAACGGACGAGAAGCUUGCUUUUCUGAUGUUAGCGGCGGACGGGUGAGUAACACGUGGAUAACCUACCUAUAAGACUGGGAUAACUUCGGGAAACCGGAGCUGAUACCGGAUAAUAUUUUGAACCGCAUGGUUCAAAAGUGAAAGACGGUCUUGCUGUCACUUAUAGAUGGAUCCGCGCUGCAUUAGCUAGUUGGUAAGGUAACGGCUUACCAAGGCAACGAUGCAUAGCCGACCUGAGAGGGUGAUCGGCCACACUGGAACUGAGACACGGUCCAGACUCCUACGGGAGGCAGCAGUAGGGAAUCUUCCGCAAUGGGCGAAAGCCUGACGGAGCAACGCCGCGUGAGUGAUGAAGGUCUUCGGAUCGUAAACCUCUGUUAUUAGGGAAGAACAUAUGUGUAAGUAACUGUGCACAUCUUGACGGUACCUAAUCAGAAAGCCACGGCUAACUACGUG
This 497-nucleotide ribosomal RNA is filed under the name uncultured bacterium. RNAcentral's name for it is "partial 16S ribosomal RNA". It matches the Rfam family "Bacterial small subunit ribosomal RNA", at positions 28 to 507 of the family's 1533-position model. The record is from RNAcentral.